Molecule: ribosomal RNA, 428 nt
Filed under: uncultured bacterium
Lineage: Bacteria
Description: partial 16S ribosomal RNA
Rfam family: Bacterial small subunit ribosomal RNA
Source: RNAcentral
GUGGGGAAUAUUGGGCAAUGGGCGAAAGCCUGACCCAGCAACGCCGCGUGAAGGAAGAAGGUUUUCGGAUUGUAAACUUCUGUCCUCAGGGAAGAAGAAAGUGACGGUACCUGAGGAGGAAGCCCCGGCUAACUACGUGCCAGCAGCCGCGGUAAUACGUAGGGGGCGAGCGUUGUCCGGAAUGACUGGGCGGAAAGGGCGCGUAGACGGCUGUCUAAGUCUGGAGUGAAAGUCCUGCUUUCAAGGUGGGAAUUGCUUUGGAGACUGGAUGGCUUGAGUGCGGAAGAGGUAAGUGGAAUUCCCAGUGUAGCGGUGAAAUGCGUAGAGAUUGGGAGGAACACCAGUGGCGAAGGCGACUUACUGGGCCGUAACUGACGUUGAUGCGCGAAAGCGUGGGGAGCGAACAGGAUUAGAAACCCGAGUAGUCC